This 68-nucleotide transfer RNA is filed under the name human gut metagenome. It matches the Rfam family "tRNA". Rfam says of the family: Transfer RNA (tRNA) molecules are approximately 80 nucleotides in length. Their secondary structure includes four short double-helical elements and three loops (D, anti-codon, and T loops). RNAcentral also lists the same sequence under 3 other names. The record is from RNAcentral.
UGAAGUGGCUCAGUUGGUAGAGCAGCUGAUUCGUAAUCAGCAGGUCGUGGGUUCAAGUCCCAUCUUCA